RNA transcript from Triticum dicoccoides, 934 nucleotides. It is a transcript of the gene named ubiquitin-like protein ATG12, with no coding region annotated. The record is from RefSeq and is a predicted model, not a curated record. Lineage: Eukaryota; Viridiplantae; Streptophyta; Magnoliopsida; Poales; Poaceae. The transcript has 4 exons.
GUCGCAUCCUACAGAGCCCUUCUCACGAGGGCCUUCCCGCAAAUUUCGUCCUCCUUCUUCACUCCCUCGUCUCCGUUCCCCUUCGGCGAUGGCCGCCGACGCCAACCACAGGAAGGGUUAGAUCCCUUCCCCACUCGCCUCUUCCUCCUCUUCCGUCCGAUCUCCGCUCACUCCUCUCGUGGCUCCCGAUCCGCAGUCGUGGUGAACUUCCAGUCGGUCGCCAACGCGCCGAAGCUGCGGCAGUCCAAGUUCAAGAUUGGUGGAAACGAGAAAUUUGCGAGGGUGAUUGAAUUUCUUCGCUGCCAAAUUCACCAGGACACAGUGUUUCUCUACGUGAAUAGUGCAUUUUCCCCGAAUCCAGACGAGUUGAUAUCUGAUUUAUACAAUGGCUCACUACUCGGAUUAACACUUUCCAAACUAAAUAGCUGGGCAUCGACAGCGACAAUCAGCGGAUGAAGGAGUGGAUGAAAAGGGUACCUGAGUGCUUGCAUGCCUGGAUCAGCCCAAUCCCUAUUAGUGAGUGAUCAAGCAAGGUCAAAAAGAAGAGCAAGCCCACGGCUAGGCAUAGUAUCAAGAGAUUGCUCGCCCGUCGCAUGCCUAACGAAUCCAGAGAAACAAGAAAAGCAUGACCAAUUGAAGGGGUCGACUGCCCAAGGAGAGUAAAAUAAUGACUAAUGGUGGUUAAACAUGUUGCACGGCAGAACUUUGGGAUCGACGGGCAGCUGGUGGUCAAUUACGCAUCAUCCAUGGCAUGGGGGUAAAAGGUGAACUUGCUUGAAAUCAGCUUGAGCAAACACAGGAAACCCUUUUAUUUCCAAAAUUAACUUUUCACGGCACUGCUAAUGGAUGUAAAGCACUGCAAAUUGAGUUUCAAAAGGAAGCUCUUUCGUUCACAUGAUAUUCAGCAUGAUGGCAAAAGCAAGAUCGUUUUCCA